This 468-nucleotide ribosomal RNA is filed under the name uncultured bacterium. RNAcentral describes it as "partial 16S ribosomal RNA". It matches the Rfam family "Bacterial small subunit ribosomal RNA", at positions 28 to 507 of the family's 1533-position model. The record is from RNAcentral.
GACGAACGCUGGCGGCGUGCUUAACACAUGCAAGUCGAACGGAAAGGCCCUGCUUUUGUGGGGUGCUCGAGUGGCGAACGGGUGAGUAACACGUGAGUAACCUGCCCUUGACUGUGGGAUAACUUCAGGAAACUGGGGCUAAUACCGGAUAGGAGCUCCUGCUGCAUGGUGGGGGUUGGAAAGUUUCGGCGGUUGGGGAUGGACUCGCGGCUUAUCAGCUUGUUGGUGGGGUAGUGGCUUACCAAGGCUUUGAAGGGUAGCCGGCCUGAGAGGGUGACCGGCCACAUUGGGACUGCGAUACGGCCCAGACUCCUACGGGAGGCAGCAGUGGGGAAUAUUGCACAAUGGGCGGAAGCCUGAUGCAGCAACGCCGCGUGCGGGAUGACGGCCUUCGGGUUGUAAACCGCUUUCGCCUGUGACGAAGCGUGAGUGACGGUAAUGGGUAAAGAAGCACCGGCUAACUACGUG